UACGGGGGGAGCAAGCGUUGUUCGGAUUUACUGGGCGUAAAGGGCGCGUAGGCGGUCAGCACAAGUCAGUUGUGAAAUCUCCGAGCUUAACUCGGAAAGGUCAACUGAUACUGUGCGACUAGAGUGCAGAAGGGGCAACUGGAAUUCUCGGUGUAGCGGUGAAAUGCGUAGAUAUCGAGAGGAACACCUGCGGCGAAGGCGGGUUGCAGGGCUGACACUGACGCUGAGGCGCGAAAGCUAGGGGAGCGAACGGG
This 254-nucleotide ribosomal RNA is filed under the name uncultured bacterium. RNAcentral describes it as "partial 16S ribosomal RNA". It matches the Rfam family "Bacterial small subunit ribosomal RNA", at positions 524 to 776 of the family's 1533-position model. The record is from RNAcentral.